RNAcentral lists this ribosomal RNA (110 nucleotides) under Chelonia mydas (Green sea turtle). Lineage: Eukaryota; Metazoa; Chordata; Testudines; Cheloniidae. The record is from RNAcentral.
AUCUACGGCCGUACCACCCUGAACAUGUCUGAUCUCGUCUGAUCUUGGAAGCGAAGCAGGGUCAGGCCUGGUUAGUCCUUGGGUGGGAGACCUACUGGGUGCUGUAGGCU